RNAcentral lists this ribosomal RNA (440 nucleotides) under uncultured bacterium. Its description in RNAcentral is "partial 16S ribosomal RNA". It matches the Rfam family "Bacterial small subunit ribosomal RNA", at positions 338 to 795 of the family's 1533-position model. The record is from RNAcentral.
CCUACGGGUGGCAGCAGUGGGGAAUAUUGCACAAUGGGGGAAACCCUGAUGCAGCGACGCCGCGUGAGUGAAGAAGUAAUUCGUUAUGUAAAGCUCUAUCAGCAGGGAAGAAAAUGACGGUACCUGAGUAAGAAGCCCCGGCUAACUACGUGCCAGCAGCCGCGGUAAUACGUAGGUGGCAAGCGUUGUCCGGAUUUACUGGGUGUAAAGGGCGUGCAGCCGGGAAGACAAGUCAGAUGUGAAAUCCCGCGGCUCAACCGCGGAACUGCAUUUGAAACUGUUUUUCUUGAGUACCGGAGAGGUCAUCGGAAUUCCUUGUGUAGCGGUGAAAUGCGUAGAUAUAAGGAAGAACACCAGUGGCGAAGGCGGAUGACUGGACGGCAACUGACGGUGAGGCGCGAAAGCGUGGGGAGCAAACAGGAUUAGAUACCCGAGUAGUC